CCUACGGGUGGCAGCAGUGAGGAAUAUUGGUCAAUGGACGAGAGUCUGAACCAGCCAAGUAGCGUGAAGGAUGACUGCCCUAUGGGUUGUAAACUUCUUUUAUAUGGGAAUAAAAUGUUCCACGUGUGGGAUUUUGUAUGUACCAUAUGAAUAAGGAUAGGCUAACUCCGUGCCAGCAGCCGAGGUAAUACGGAGGAUCCGAGCGUUAUACGGAUUUAUUGGGUUUAAAGGGAGCGUAGGUGGAUUGUUAAGUCAGUUGUGAAAGUUUGGGGCUCAACCGUAAAAUUGCAGUUGAAACUGGCAGUCUUGAGUACAGUAGAGGUGUGCGGAAUUCGUGGUGUAGCGGUGAAAUGCUUAGAUAUCACGAAGAACUCCGAUUGCGAAGGCAGUUCACUGGACUGCAACUGACACUGAGGCUCGAAAGUGUGGGUAUCAAACAGGAUUAGAUACCCGGGUAGUC
This 460-nucleotide ribosomal RNA is filed under the name uncultured bacterium. Its description in RNAcentral is "partial 16S ribosomal RNA". It matches the Rfam family "Bacterial small subunit ribosomal RNA", at positions 338 to 795 of the family's 1533-position model. The record is from RNAcentral.